UUCCCUUCGGGGACAUCCGAUAAAAUUGGAAAGAUACAGAAAAUAUUAGCAUGGACCCUGCGCAAGAAUGACAUGCACAAAUCGAGAAAUGGUCCAAACUCUU
This is a small nuclear RNA of Solanum verrucosum, 103 nucleotides long. The record is from RefSeq and is a predicted model, not a curated record. NCBI's taxonomy places the organism in Eukaryota, Viridiplantae, Streptophyta, Magnoliopsida, Solanales, Solanaceae.